GAGGCUGAUAGGCCGGGUGUGUAAGCGCAGCGAUGCGUUGAGCUAACCGGUACUAAUGAACCGUGAGGCUUAACCUUACAACGCCGAAG
Molecule: ribosomal RNA, 89 nt
Filed under: Klebsiella pneumoniae
Lineage: Bacteria; Pseudomonadati; Pseudomonadota; Gammaproteobacteria; Enterobacterales; Enterobacteriaceae
Description: partial 23S ribosomal RNA
Rfam family: Bacterial large subunit ribosomal RNA (bases 1-77)
Source: RNAcentral